RNAcentral lists this ribosomal RNA (497 nucleotides) under uncultured bacterium. RNAcentral describes it as "partial 16S ribosomal RNA". It matches the Rfam family "Bacterial small subunit ribosomal RNA", at positions 28 to 507 of the family's 1533-position model. The record is from RNAcentral.
GAUGAACGCUGGCGGCGUGCCUAAUACAUGCAAGUCGAACGAACAGACGAGGAGCUUUCUCUUCUUACGUUAGCGGCGGGCGGGUGAGUAACACGUGGAUAACCUACCUAUAUGACUGGGAUAACUUCGGGAAACCGGAGCUAAUACCGGAUAAUAUAUUGAACCGCAUGGUUCAGUAGUGAAAUACGGUUUUGCUGUCACUUAUAGAUGGAUCCGCGCCGCAUUAGGUAGUUGGUAAGCUAACGGCUUACCAAGGCAACGAUGCGUAGCCGACCUGAGAGAGUGAUAGGCCACACUGGAACUGAGACACGGUCAAGACUCCUACGGGAGGCAGCAGUAGGGAAUCUUCCGCAAUGGGCGAAAGCUUGACGGAGCAACGCCGCGUGAGUGAUGAAGGUCUUCGGAUCGUAAAACUCUGUUAUUAGGGAAGAACAAAUGUGUAAGUAAAUAUGCACGUAUUGACGGUACCUAAACAGAAAGCCACGGCUAACUACGUG